This 497-nucleotide ribosomal RNA is filed under the name uncultured bacterium. RNAcentral's name for it is "partial 16S ribosomal RNA". It matches the Rfam family "Bacterial small subunit ribosomal RNA", at positions 28 to 507 of the family's 1533-position model. The record is from RNAcentral.
GAUGAACGCUGGCGGCGUGCCUAAUACAUGCAGGUCGAGCGAACGGACGAGAAGCUUGCUUUUCUGAUGUUAGCGGCGGACGGGUGAGUAACACGUGUAUAACCUACCUAUCAGACUGGGAUAACUUCGGGAAACCGGAGCUAAUACCGGAUAAUAUUCUGAACCGCAUGGUUCAAAAGUGAAAGACGGUCUUGCUGUCACUUAUAGAUGGAUCUGCGCUGCAUUAGCUAGUUGGUAAGGUAACGGCUUACCAAGGCAACGAUGCAUAGCCGACGUGAGAGGGUGGUCGGCCACACUGGAGCUGGGACACGGUCCUGACUCCUACGAGAGGGAGCAGUAGGGAAUCGUCCGCAGUAGGCGAGAGCCUGACGGAGCGGCGCCACGUGUGAGAUAGAGAUCUUCGGAGCGUAAUACUCUGUUAUUGGGGAAGAACAUAUGUGUCAGUAACUGAGCACAGCUUGACGGUACCUGGUCAGAAAGCCACGGCUAACUACGUG